UGGGUUUGAUCCUGGCUCUGAGUGAACGCUUGGGGUGGGCAUAACACAUGCGAGUCAACUAUACGUGGCGAACGGGUGAGUAUAGUGGGGCUUUUUUGCCUGGCAGUUCGGGCUAAACCCCGAAUAGGCUGUCCUUUGACGGCUUUAAAAACAGGUUGCUGCCAGAUACGUCCGCGUAGGAUUAGGUUAUCGUAGAGAGCCGACGAUCCUUAGUUGAUCUGGGAAGGAUGCACAGCCACACUGGGACUGAGACAAGGCCCAGGCUCCAGUAGGAGGCAGCAGUGAGGAAUAUUGGGCAAUGGGCGAAAGCCUGACCCAACCACACCUCUAGAUUGAUAGAAGGUCAAGGCCGUAAAUUUAUAGGGUCGGUAAAGAUAUACGACGGUAGCCGGCUGAGGAGCCCCGGCUAACCCCGUGCCAGCAGCCGCGGUAAAACGGGGGGGGCGAGUGUUAUUCGCAUUGACUGGGCGUAAAGUGUGUGUAGGCGGUUUGCUCGAGGGCUUUUGCGAAAACCUGGGGCCAAACCCUUGUGUGACUUUUGCCAUAGCAAGCUAGAGUUUGAUAGAGGUCAGCGGAAUUCUCAGAAGAGGGGUAAAAUCCGGGGACACUGAGACGAACACCAGCACGGCGAAGGCGGCUGGCUGGAUCAAACUGACGCUAAAGCACGGAAGCGCAGGGAGCGAACGGGAUUAGACACCCCGGUAGUCUGCGCCGUCAACGAUGGGUCUCGGCAAACUUCUGUCAAGUUAACGCAUUAAAGAUCCCGCCUGGGGAGUACGGUCGCAAGAUUAAAACUUAAAGGAAUUGACGGGAGUUCGCACCAGCGGUGGGGCAUGCGGUUUAAUCCGAUAAUCCGCGUCAAACAUUACCAGCUCUUGUAUUACCAGGUGUUGCAUGGCCGUCGUCAGCCCGUGUCGUAAGGCGUUUGGUUAACUCCUUACAAAAACGGAAGCAAGACCCCUCCUUGAUUAAGGCACUGCUAUUUAAAUAAUGGUAGGUUCUAGGUAGGCAGGGACUACGCCAGGUCGUCAUGGCCCUAAUGAGCUGGGCUACACAUGUGUCACAUGGCCGCGUACAGCGUGAUGCUUGAUUAAGCAAGGCUUUAACGCGCGGCUAGGUUCGGAUUGUUGCCUGAAACUUGGCAACAUGAAGGCGUAAUCGCUAGUAAUCGCGUAUCAUAACGGCGCGGUGAAUACGUGAUCGAGCUUUGUACACACCGCCCGUCACGCCCGGAAAGACAGCUUUGCUUGAAGAAAUAUUGGUGAAUGCGUAUCGUUUAGCGGAUAGCCAACUUUUGAUAGUGGGGUCGACGAUCGGGGCGAAGUCGUAACAAGGUAGUUGUAGGGGAACCUGUAGCUGGAGAAAGU
RNAcentral lists this ribosomal RNA (1367 nucleotides) under Lotharella oceanica. RNAcentral describes it as "bacterial SSU rRNA". It matches the Rfam family "Bacterial small subunit ribosomal RNA". The record is from RNAcentral. Lineage: Eukaryota; Cercozoa; Chlorarachniophyceae.